Molecule: long non-coding RNA, 3501 nt
Filed under: Equus caballus (horse)
Lineage: Eukaryota; Metazoa; Chordata; Mammalia; Perissodactyla; Equidae
Description: lncRNA (ENSECAG00000058075.1)
Source: RNAcentral
AAAAAAAUAAAAUCUUUAAAAAAAAUAAAUUUGGUUGGAUUUCAUAUUUGCCUUACAAUUUUUUUUUGAAAUAACUAUUGUCUGCUCUUCCAUUUCAAGAAAUUCUUGGUAAUUAUGGUUUAUUUUUUGUCCUUCCCACUUGAGUUACCAACCAGCAGUAUGAGGGGAAGGUACAGAUCUUCCCUGAUGCGUUUGAUUUAUUUUGAAUGCUGGCAAAUUCACAGUCAGAGAGGCAGUUUGAUUUUGGCUUAGUUUUCAGGAAAUUUUUGAUUUUUUGGGCUAUAGUGUGAAGAUGUAUUUUUACUUUUUAUUUUUGAUAUAUUUAUUUUUGCUGUUAAUUGUUUGCUUCAGGUUGAAUGGUUAGUACUUUCUCUAUCUCAGUCAGUCCAUGUUUUGGGGGUCCUUAAAGUUUCUGCUACAAAUUGACAUUAAAAAUCCUGAUGUGAGUCCUGCCUGGGUUCAGUUAGCUCCCUGCUGAUGUGUUUAAGGGCCUGAGUUAAGCCCUAUGAACAAGCCAGUGUUCACUGGUUCCUGACUUUCAGCUGGACCCAUAACCCUAAAUUUACCUCACAAGAGCACCUGCCAUCACAAAGGAAACUAGGUGAGGACCAAGGACAUCUCAGGUAUAGGCAUCAUUCCUUCUGAAAAAGUAACUAAAUAUGUAGGCCCUGUUUCAAAUUUGAAGGAUCUAUAUGGGGUAAACUGCGGAAGCACAUUAUAGUACAUCUCAAGGUGGAAGUGUGAGGGGCAAAUUGUUGAAAUGAGACAAGAGGAAGCUGGCUCCUUUCCUCACACGUUAGUGAAGGAUAGUGGUGAUAUUGUCCCAUGCACUCCAUAUUGGCAUCAAGAGACUCCGAGGGGUCAGUAACUGGGUGCAGGUAGUGAUGUGCAGUCCAAACUGGGAGACUAGCAGCUGAAGAUGUACAGGAUUGAUCUGACCUAGGAGCAGGUGGGAAGGAAAGCGGCAUUAGGUUAGGUCCAGUCUGCUCUAGGAGAGAAGGCUCGGGUACCAGCCUCCCAGCCUCCCUGGUGCCUGAGCUCCAUUUUGCAGCAGGCUGGCGUUGUUUGAAUGUUCUUACAGCGUCAUUCAGGGCCAUGUGAAUCUGCUUUUGUUGUGGUACAUCUAUUGUUUUAUUAGCUCACCUCUUGCAACCAAAGUGGGAACUCUAUCAUAAAACACCAUGCUCCUCAUUUUCUUUCCUCCAACCCCUUUCCAAAUGACCGAGAACCUGUCUUUGUUUGCCAACUCAUUCUUAGGGUAGAGACUGAAAAAGUGCGGGACUUUGUGUGUACGUGUGUGAGUGUGUGUUUUUAGGGGGUGGAGGAACUUGAAGGGGAGCUAGCCAUUGUUAUUCAUUAUAAAACUAGUCAAACUUUGUAGUUUCCAAAAGAAAUAUCAGAUGGCAGAUUCUUCACCAUCAUGUAUUUUUAAAGUCCAAUUGAUCUACGUCUAAGGGGAAAAUAUGUUAUUUUAAAUGCAGUGUUCAUACUAAAGGAAUAUUGAAAAUGAUUGAACAGAAUAAAACAGCUAAUACUUAUUGAUGCUUAUUGUUUUCCAGACAUUUACUUUUAUUAACUAGUUUAUUCUUUUAGCAAAGCUAUAAGGUAGAUCUUGUUAUUAUCCAUAGUACAACAGCUGAGGAAAUGGAGAUGUAGAGAAAUCACGGAGCUGGUCCAAGGACACUCUGGCAGAGUAAAGAUGUCCAAAAAUUUUUGACACUCUCUCAUUAAGAAGAGUCUCUUCCCCUUGAACCUACUGGGCUCCAUGUCUGCCUUGAUUAAUAGAAUAUGAUGGAAGUGAUGCUUUACCAGUUUUUGGGUCCUGGCCUCAAGCGUUUGGCAACUUUUACUUCCUGCCUCUGGAAACACUUGUUCUUGGAGCGCUAAGACACACGUAAAAGUCUGACGACCUGAGGCCAUCAUCUAGAAGGUAGAAGAACUGAUGCCUGAAUGGACCAACCACAAGGGCAGAGGCUUGCCUGAGCUGUUCACUGCUGCGUUCCCAGCACCGGGAAUAGUGAAACAGACGUGAAAUGCUUUUCAGUGAAUGAAUAAAUGACGGAAAUAUUUUAUUUUAAGGAGGAAGAAUUGUCUCCAUUGUUCCAGAAUGGCAUGCUUUGGUUCACAAGAAUCAUAAGAAGAAGUCAUGUGCAAGACUUCUAGGGAAAAUGGACAUUCCUCCUUGGACAUCAAGGAAAGUUACCCCUUGCCUGGCCUGGGAAAAGCAGAGGCAGGUCAGAGAAGUGGACAUUUAAGUGGAUGUGAUUUGGACCAGCACUGGCUGGCACCUUAAUUACAGCCCUGUGAGAAACCCUGAAGCAGAGAACUCAGAGGAAGGAACUUAAUUUAUCCAAGGCCAAGUGACCAGUAUGUAGCAGAGCAGAUACCAGAGCCCGGGGCUGUCUGACACAAAGCCUUUAUACUUUGUUUCACGACAUGCUGCUUACCACUGUGGCCUCAUUGCUGUGAUCAGGCAGAGCUCAGUUCCAGAGUUUCUCAUCACAGGAAAACAUUUUAGAAACAGAAAGCUGUUAUGUAAUCUCUUAACAGUGUGGAGAAGAUGCGGGGCAAGAACUCAGUUCUAGCUUCCAAGUAAUCCGAGGGAAAUACGUAAUUCUCAUGGCUGAUGAGUGGAAUAGGUCUGCACCUGGGAUCCUUGCAAACCCAGGCCACUGAAGUGGACCACGUGGAACAUUAACCACUUGACCAUGAGGCUGGCCUCUGGAAGUUUCUGUCUUUAGGAUAAUUUUUUUUUUCUGUUGCAGUAUUUGAUUUUUUAAUUUCCCAAAUGUUCUUGAUAUAGUUCAAUUCUUCAUCACCCUCAUAAGCUCUAUCUGCCCCUCACAGAUACAAUUUCCUCCCAGGAAGCUCUGACUGGAGUCAUAGCAGAGCUAGACAAGUCUGAUAGGGAAACAUUCAUGACUAAUCCAAACUCUGGGUCUGUUUUUGUUAAAAGUGAAACCCUGGAGAAGUUGUGCAUGAGACUUUUCAGUUAAAAAAUAAAAUAAAUAUUUCCCUUUUGAGUAAAAGUGCAAUUACUCUAUGUUAUUUAAUCAUACCCUGAGAGACUAGAGAAAGGUUUCUUGAAGGGUCGCUCCUGUCUUCUGUCAGGAAAUGAAUGGCAGAAUAAAGUACCCCUGCCGAAACAGAGUAAGAAGGACCUCUUUUCUCAUCUGAACUUCAUCUAAGUGUAUCAAAUUACAAUAUAUAAUAAUUCAACCUGAACUUUAAUAGUAUCCUCUGUGAAAUUUUUGAUAACGUUUAUUCACCCUUUGCCAUGCCAAUUAGUUACUCAUUUAUGUGUCCCUGCUCCUCUGAAUAAAUUGUGACUUUGUUGAAGGCAUAGAUGAUGCUUUUUAAAAUCUUAUUAUCCUAUACCUCCCUUCUGAAUACACAGAAUAAUCCAUCAUAUUAUGAGAUGCUCAGAAUACGUCUGUUGACCAUCUUGGAAAUAGAGCUACAUUAUAUUAGUCCAAAGCAUUGCAUUUGCAAGUUUUUUUA